AGCGAACGCUGGCGGCAGGCUUAACACAUGCAAGUCGAGCGGGCCCUUCGGGGUCAGCGGCAGACGGGUGAGUAACACGUGGGAACGUACCCUUUGGUUCGGAAUAACGCUGGGAAACUAGCGCUAAUACCGGAUACGCCCUUUUGGGGAAAGGCUUGCUGCCGAAGGAUCGGCCCGCGUCUGAUUAGCUAGUUGGUGGGGUAAUGGCCUACCAAGGCGACGAUCAGUAGCUGGUCUGAGAGGAUGAUCAGCCACACUGGGACUGAGACACGGCCCAGACUCCUACGGGAGGCAGCAGUGGGGAAUAUUGGACAAUGGGCGCAAGCCUGAUCCAGCCAUGCCGCGUGAGUGAUGAAGGCCUGAGGGUUGUAAAGCUCUUUUGUCCGGGACGAUAAUGACGGUACCGGAAGAAUAAGCCCCGGCUAACUUCGUG
This 433-nucleotide ribosomal RNA is filed under the name uncultured bacterium. RNAcentral's name for it is "partial 16S ribosomal RNA". It matches the Rfam family "Bacterial small subunit ribosomal RNA", at positions 29 to 507 of the family's 1533-position model. The record is from RNAcentral.